RNAcentral lists this long non-coding RNA (2092 nucleotides) under Lonchura striata (white-rumped munia). RNAcentral describes it as "domestica (Bengalese finch) lncRNA (ENSLSDG00000001183.1)". The record is from RNAcentral. Lineage: Eukaryota; Metazoa; Chordata; Aves; Passeriformes; Estrildidae.
CUGCAGUCAGCCCAGACCCAAAAUCUGGUUGAGAAUCUGCUCUAGAGCAGGCUUAGCUUCUCAGACCUGCAAGACAACUCUAGAGGGAGGCCCAAAAUCUCACUGAGUUUUUUGUAUACUUGGAAUGCAUUCAUGUACCAUCCACAUACCCCACACUGUUCUAAAAGUCACCCCCAAAGAUUAGCAGAGAAUGGAUCUGAUGCCGUGAUGUGCUCAGAAGCCCAUGACCAGCUGAGAUGUGAGGUGGCAAUGAAGGUUGGGCAGCUUCCCCUCUUCCACAACAGAGCUGAACUCUGCUGGACAGAAUAAUCUUUGGACAGAGCCCAGAGACAGUUGCUGCAAUAUUCCUGCACCUACUCCUGACAAUUCCUAUUUCACUCCAUUUCAAUUUCCUCCCAGGUGUUUCAGCUGGUCUUUUUGGUACCAAUGAUAAUGAAGCUGGAAACGAAUGGAUGGUGCCUAAUGGUUCUUUCACUGACAACAUGAAAGAGUUCACACAGAGCUGGCAGGUGAAUAAGUGCAGUCUCAUACAGAAGAAAGAGAAGCCAUGCCCAAUUACAGCUAAGCAAAACAUCUGUAAAGUGUUCUUUGAAGAACCACAUUCACUUCUUAGGAACUGCUUCAAAGUUGUAAGUAGAACUUCAGCCAGAAGCAGUGUCUUAAUUAUGUGUCAUACUUCCAAGGAGAUCACAUAACCAUUGCAAGGAUGUAGAAGUUUAAUUGCAGAAAACUGUAGAAGUAAGCAAAACAGCAAUCCAGACAGAAAAGAAGGUGGUUUUAUCACCCUAAAUAUAAAUGGAGGUUUUUGAAUUGACAGAGUAGUGGCAUAACUGCUCUUUACGAUACAGGUCUAGAAUUUGGAAACAGAAAUAACCUCCUCACUGUUAUGAAGGGAAUAAAGGAUUAUGAAUGGUCCUAACCAGGCAGGGGGGAGGGGACACAACCCGAACCUCUGGAUUUACCUGCAGGUUGCCCCUAACGCCUCCCUUUGUACCCAGGUGGAGCCUGAGCCAUUCUACACCAUGUGUACACAGGACACCUGUGACUCCCCAGCCUUGGGGGCUGCCUGCAGCUUAGCAGCAGCUUUUGUUCAUUUGUGCAACCGGAAUUUUGUCCCUGUGGAAAUCCCUCCACAGUGCUCCAGCCAGUUCUGAAUGGCAGAUACCAGCCCUGAAGAUGGAAGAACCCUUCCAGUACCCAAAAGGGAACAGUUAUUUUAGGUAGGCAAGCUAGAGGCAAGAACAGGGAAAGAACAGUAGAUGUGUUGAUGCAUUAGUGUUAACUGUGAAUAUAGUGAAGUAUAUAUAGUAUAAAAGGAAAGCUUUCCACCCAGAACCCCUGAGGGCAAGAGGAAUUAUUUCAGUAUAUUGACAAGAAACUAUAAUCAACCAAAAGAUAUUGGAAAGUAGCAGUUACUCUAAAAAAAUUCUCCCAUUCAGUGGCAAAAUUACCUCUCCACAAGUCUUGAACCACAGCACAAAUACACUGAAAAGCUGAGAAAAGCUCUCUUCCAGCUCAGAUUAGUACAAGUGGACUACUUUGUGAAAGCAGCAUCAUCAGCUUAGAGUCAGCAGAAAUGCUGACUUCUUUUUUCUCCAGAAAUGAAACUCCACUGUUCAGUGGUUCUGGAGAAAGUUAUCUGGGAAGUGCUCCAACACACAAGAAGGCCAAGACAGAAAUAAGAUGGGUAAAUAAUGGAAAGCAGCUAAUAAUUUUCUCAUUUUUGUGCUGAUUUUUCCCUUUUUAAUGUAUGCACUGUUAAAUGAGAAACAGCCUUCUUAGUUUCUGUGCACCAGUUGCACAUUUUCCCUUUGUGUCUUUAGAAACCCGUCAGCAAUCAGUUGCUGUGUUGAGGGGUGACCAAGAUCUACCCUACCCAUGAAGUACCGUUAGGGUGUUACAGCUACUGCUGUGUGAGUGUCUCACCUGUUAAAUCACUUUCUGUAUUGUAGGUCACUUGAUUUAAAAUUUGCAUUACCUUCCUCCACACAGCUGCUUGGAAUGCAGCUACUCCUUGGUAAAAGGUAAUGCUGCAAAUGCAAUGUUUGCAAAAUAUGCAAACAUUGAAAUAAAGGUAUUUCCUACUAUGACA